This 253-nucleotide ribosomal RNA is filed under the name uncultured bacterium. RNAcentral's name for it is "partial 16S ribosomal RNA". It matches the Rfam family "Bacterial small subunit ribosomal RNA", at positions 524 to 776 of the family's 1533-position model. The record is from RNAcentral.
AACGUAGGUGACAAACGUUAUCCGGAGUUACUGGGCGUAAAGGGCGUGUAGGUGGUUUAGUAAGUCUGGCGUGAAAUUUUUCGGCUUAACCGGGAAAGGUCGUCGGAUACUGCAAGACUAGAGGACAGUAGAGGCGUGUGGAAUUCCGGGUGUAGUGGUGAAAUGCGUAGAGAUCCGGAGGAACACCAGUGGCGAAGGCGACACGCUGGGCCGUACCUGACACUGAUGCGCGACAGCAUGGGGAGCAAACAGG